RNAcentral lists this RNase P RNA (515 nucleotides) under Phycisphaerae bacterium. RNAcentral's name for it is "RNase P RNA component class A". It matches the Rfam family "Bacterial RNase P class A". From Rfam's summary of the family: Ribonuclease P (RNase P) is a ubiquitous endoribonuclease, found in archaea, bacteria and eukarya as well as chloroplasts and mitochondria. Lineage: Bacteria; Pseudomonadati; Planctomycetota; Phycisphaerae. The record is from RNAcentral.
CCGGAUGCGCGGAAGGUCGCUCGUCUGCGGCGGAGUCCCUCCGUCGCCAGGCGGGAGGAAAGUCCGAGCACCCCUGGGCCACGGUGGUGGGUAACGCCCACCGCCCCGGUUCGCGAGGACCGGGGCAGGGACAGUGCCACAGAAAACAAACCGCCCUGAGCGCGCGAGGGCUCCGCCCGAGCGAGUCGAAGGGUAAGGGUGAAACGGUGCGGUAAGAGCGCACCGCGGCGGCCGUGAGGUCGUCGGCACGGCAAACCCCACCGGGUGCAAGGCCAAGCAGCGGCGAAGGCCCGGCCCAGGCCGAUCCGCCGCGGGUAGGCCGCUUGCCGUCAGCGCGUCGAAAGGCGUGCCCCCAGCGCGCGAGGGCAUCGCCCGAGCGAGUCGAAGGGCUUGCCUGAAGACGGGCCACAAGCAGAGCGUGGCCGCGAGGUCGCGCCAAGAUAAAUGGCCUUCGCGUCGUCGCCUCGGCCCGAGGCGACGGCGUACAGAACUCGGCUUACAGCGCACCCGGCCGG